CACGUAGGGCGCGAGCGUUGUCCGGAAUUAUUGGGCGUAAAGAGCUUGUAGGCGGUCUGUCGCGUCUGCUGUGAAAAUCCGGGGCUCAACCCCGGACUUGCAGUGGGUACGGGCAGACUAGAGUGUGGUAGGGGAGACUGGAAUUCCUGGUGUAGCGGUGAAAUGCGCAGAUAUCAGGAGGAACACCGAUGGCGAAGGCAGGUCUCUGGGCCGCUACUGACGCUGAGAAGCGAAAGCAUGGGGAGCGAACAGG
This 253-nucleotide ribosomal RNA is filed under the name uncultured bacterium. Its description in RNAcentral is "partial 16S ribosomal RNA". It matches the Rfam family "Bacterial small subunit ribosomal RNA", at positions 524 to 776 of the family's 1533-position model. The record is from RNAcentral.